CGCCUCUUGAGUAAAAAUAAGAGGUCCAGCCUGCCCAGUGACAAAUGUUCAACGGCCGCGGUAUCCUAACCGUGCGAAGGUAGCGUAAUCACUUGUUCUUUAAAUGUGGACUAGUAUGAACGGCACCACGAGGGUUAUACUGUCUCCUUUCUCUAAUCAGUGAAACUAAUCUCCCCGUGAAGAAGCGGGGAUAAAAAUAUAAGACGAGAAGACCCUAUGGAGCUUAAAAGUUUACUUCAAACGCUAACCCCUACAAAGUCAUAGACUACCACAAGAAGCCACGCGCCAUGAAAACAACUUUUAGGUUGGGGUGACCAUGGAGCACAAAACAACCUCCACGCUGAACAGGCCUCCAAGCCUCGAGCCAAGGGCCACAACCCGCCGCACUAAAAAAUUAACAUCCAUUGAUCCAAUGAAUUUUGAUCAACGAACCAAGUUACCCUAGGGAUAACAGCGCAAUCUACUUCAAGAGUUCCUAUCGACAAGUGGGUUUACGACCUCGAUGUUGGAUCAGGGUGUCCCAGUGGUGCAGCCGCUACUAAUGGUUCGUUUGUUCAACGAUUAAAACCCU
Molecule: ribosomal RNA, 571 nt
Filed under: Scinax nasicus (lesser snouted treefrog)
Lineage: Eukaryota; Metazoa; Chordata; Amphibia; Anura; Hylidae
Description: partial large subunit ribosomal RNA
Rfam family: Bacterial large subunit ribosomal RNA
Source: RNAcentral